Molecule: transfer RNA, 68 nt
Filed under: Marmota monax (woodchuck)
Lineage: Eukaryota; Metazoa; Chordata; Mammalia; Rodentia; Sciuridae
Description: tRNA.Ala
Source: RNAcentral
GGAUUGUGGCUCAGUGGUAGAGCGCUUGCCUAGCAUGUGUGAGGCGCUGGGUUCGAUCCUUAGCACCA